RNAcentral lists this ribosomal RNA (918 nucleotides) under uncultured Bacillota bacterium. RNAcentral describes it as "bacterial SSU rRNA". It matches the Rfam family "Bacterial small subunit ribosomal RNA", at positions 1 to 917 of the family's 1533-position model. Lineage: Bacteria; Bacillati; Bacillota. The record is from RNAcentral.
UGGAUCCAGACUUUGAUUAUGGCUCAGGACGAACGCUGGCGGCGUGCUUAACACAUGCAAGUCGAACGGAGCACCCUUGAUUGAGGUUUCGGCCAAAUGAUAGGAAUGCUUAGUGGCGGACUGGUGAGUAACGCGUGAGGAACCUGCCUUUCAGAGGGGGACAACAGUUGGAAACGACUGCUAAUACCGCAUGACGCAUUUUGAUCGCAUGGUCGAAAUGCCAAAGAUUUAUCGCUGAAAGAUGGCCUCGCGUCUGAUUAGAUAGUUGGCGGGGUAACGGCCCACCAAGUCGACGAUCAGUAGCCGGACUGAGAGGUUGACCGGCCACAUUGGGACUGAGAUACGGCCCAGACUCCUACGGGAGGCAGCAGUGGGGAAUAUUGGGCAAUGGGCGCAAGCCUGACCCAGCAACGCCGCGUGAAGGAAGAAGGCUUUCGGGUUGUAAACUUCUUUUAAGUGGGAAGAGCAGAAGACGGUACCACUUGAAUAAGCCACGGCUAACUACGUGCCAGCAGCCGCGGUAAUACGUAGGUGGCAAGCGUUGUCCGGAUUUACUGGGUGUAAAGGGCGUGCAGCCGGGCAUGCAAGUCAGAUGUGAAAUCUCAGGGCUUAACCCUGAAACUGCAUUUGAAACUGUAUGUCUUGAGUGCCGGAGAGGUAAUCGGAAUUCCUUGUGUAGCGGUGAAAUGCGUAGAUAUAAGGAAGAACACCAGUGGCGAAGGCGGAUUACUGGACGGUAACUGACGGUGAGGCGCGAAGGCGUGGGGAGCGAACAGGAUUAGAUACCCUGGUAGUCCACGCUGUAAACGAUGGAUACUAGGUGUGCGGGGAUUGACCCCCUGCGUGCCGCAGUUAACACAAUAAGUAUCCCACCUGGGGAGUACGAUCGCAAGGUUGCAACUCAAAGGAAUUGACGGA